This 467-nucleotide ribosomal RNA is filed under the name uncultured bacterium. Its description in RNAcentral is "partial 16S ribosomal RNA". It matches the Rfam family "Bacterial small subunit ribosomal RNA", at positions 28 to 506 of the family's 1533-position model. The record is from RNAcentral.
GACGAACGCUGGCGGCGUGCUUAACACAUGCAAGUCGAACGGAAAGGCCCUGCUUUUGUGGGGUGCUCGAGUGGCGAACGGGUGAGUAACACGUGAGUAACCUGCCCUUGACUUUGGGAUAACUUCAGGAAACUGGGGCUAAUACCGGAUAGGAGCUCCUGCUGCAUGGUGGGGGUUGGAAAGUUUCGGCGGUUGGGGAUGGACUCGCGGCUUAUCAGCUUGUUGGUGGGGUAGUGGCUUACCAAGGCUUUGACGGGUAGCCGGCCUGAGAGGGUGACCGGCCACAUUGGGACGGAGAUACGGCCCAGACUCCUACGGGAGGCAGCAGGGGGGAAUAUUGCACAAGGGGCGGAGGCCUGAUGCAGCAACGCCGCGUGCGGGAUGACGGCCUUCGGGUUGUAAACCGCUUUCGCCUGUGACGAAGCGUGAGUGACGGUAAUGGGUAAAGAAGCACCGGCUAACUACGU